This 343-nucleotide unclassified non-coding RNA is filed under the name soil metagenome. RNAcentral describes it as "partial contains 5.8S ribosomal RNA, internal transcribed spacer 2, and large subunit ribosomal RNA". The stretch from base 1 to 120 matches the Rfam family "5.8S ribosomal RNA", at positions 35 to 154 of the family's 154-position model. The record is from RNAcentral.
GAUGAAGAACGUAGCGAAAUGCGAUAAGUAGUGUGAAUUGCAGAAUUCAGUGAAUCAUCGAAUCUUUGAACGCACAUUGCGCCCUUUGGUAUUCCUUAGGGCAUGCCUGUUCGAGCGUCAUUUCAACCCUCGACCUCCCUUUGGGGAAGUCGGCGUUGGGGACCGGCAGCACACCGCCGGCCCUGAAAUGGAGUGGCGGCCCGUCCGCGGCGACCUCUGCGUAGUAAACCAACUCGCACCGGAACCCCGACGUGGCCACGCCGUAAAACACCCAACUUCUGAACGUUGACCUCGAAUCAGGUAGGACUACCCGCUGAACUUAAGCAUAUCAAUAAGCGGAGGA